RNAcentral lists this ribosomal RNA (464 nucleotides) under uncultured bacterium. RNAcentral's name for it is "partial 16S ribosomal RNA". It matches the Rfam family "Bacterial small subunit ribosomal RNA", at positions 28 to 507 of the family's 1533-position model. The record is from RNAcentral.
GACGAACGCUGGCGGCGUGCUUAACACAUGCAAGUCGAACGGAAAGGCCCUGCUUGCAGGGUACUCGAGUGGCGAACGGGUGAGUAACACGUGGGUGAUCUGCCCUGCACUUCGGGAUAAGCCUGGGAAACUGGGUCUAAUACCGAUAGGAGCCAUUAUUAGUGUGAUGGGUGGAAAGGUUUGUCGGUGUAUGGUGAGCUCGCGGCCUAUCAGCUUGUUGGUGGGGGAAUGGCCGACCAAUGCGGCGACGGGUAGCCGGCCUUAGAGGGUGGACCGCGACAUUGAGACUGAGGUACGGCAGCGACUCCGACGGGAGGCAGAAGUGGGGAAGAUUGCAGGAUGGGCGCAAGCCUGAUGCUGCGGCGCUGCGUGGGGGAUGACGGCCUUCGGGUUGUAAACCACUUGCGCUAGGGACGAAGCUUUUUGUGACGGUACCUAGACAAGAAGCCACGGCUAACUACGUG